Molecule: ribosomal RNA, 81 nt
Filed under: uncultured eukaryote
Lineage: Eukaryota
Description: partial small subunit ribosomal RNA
Rfam family: Eukaryotic small subunit ribosomal RNA
Source: RNAcentral
GGUGAAAUUCUCAGAUUAACUAAAGACUAACUUAUGCGAAAGCAUUUGCCAAGGAUGUUUUCAUUGAUCAAGAACGAAAGU